Non-coding RNA from Coffea arabica (coffee), 2141 nucleotides. Lineage: Eukaryota; Viridiplantae; Streptophyta; Magnoliopsida; Gentianales; Rubiaceae. The record is from RefSeq and is a predicted model, not a curated record.
AUACCUCCACUGGAAUAAAAUACUGACUAGGAAAUGCCCAAACUAAGACUACCAGAUUCCUUAAAAGAAUAGUUGGAGUUAAAAGCUUUUCUGAGAUUAUGUUUACCAUUUUAAAUCAACUAUGUGUAUCUAUUAUGGGUAAGUAUUAGCCAUUUAGAGCUUUUGUGUUACAACUUUUGACUCCUUUAGCAGCACCCAUGCGCCAUAAUCUAGAGCCCGCAUUCAAAUGCUUUAUUCCAGGAGAAGAGCACCUCAUAUAUAUAUAUAUAUAUAUAUAUAUUUUUUUUUUUCCAGUUUGGAUUGUCCUUUAAAAGUUGCUUAGCGUUUGGUUCUGUUACUAGGUUCGGCAUCUUGAGCUGAAGAAGGAGAAGGAAGUUCCGAGAGAAGAACUUGUCAAGUUUCUCUCUGAGGCAAUGGCAACUCAAUUUAAAAACCCAUCCAUCUGGAACUAGAACAGAUUACUUGAACGCAUUGCUACCAGGUUUUUAAAGCCACUUCAUAUUGUUCGUAGUUCUUUCGUACAAAAAAGUUUGCAAGAUGUUUGCCAUUAUUUUAGAAACCUAAGUUCCUGCAGCAUAACAUUUCAAGCCAUGUGUUUGUUACUCCAUGUUGUUCCUGGGAAAGCUGUCUAUCAUAGGUUAAAAUAAGGGCAUGGAGAAGGGAGAAAAAGAAAAUAAAAAGAAAGAAGAAAUGGCCUUUCUGACAUGUUAGUUUACGUUUGAACAUCUAGUGAUUUCCCAAAUCCUAUUGGAGCUUUUGCUUGCUUUUUUACAAACUUUAAAGCGUUUCAGUUUCAAUAUCGUCACAUAACCUUUUUUUUUGCACAAUAGAACUGAGAAUAGGAGCACACCUUCAUUAAUGCAUAUGAAUGAAAAAUUCAAUUGAACAGUCUUUCUGAAAGGAAUCGUAUUUAUUCUAUACUUUAAUAGUAUUGAUGGCUUACAGAGUUUUUCAAAAAGUAGAUGCCUUGAACAAUUCCACUGAGAGAUACUGCAUAGUUCAUGUACCAAUACAUUUGUAUAUAUCUUCUUUCUUAAUAUUCCUUUUUUUCCCCUGUUUAUACACAUCAAAAACCGCUUAAUAAACCAAUAGAAGAUAGAACUCUUAGAAAAUUUCAUUCAGACCCAAGAAUUCCAAUUGGACCGUUUAAUGUGGAAGGAUGGGAAUAAUUUACUGAUAUUUAAUCUGGACUGUUCCAUUCUCAUCUCAUUUGCUGUUUUAGAAGUCAAUGCAUUGUAUUUUUAAGUUUUAACUCUAAUUAGAUCUGCAUUUCAGUCAAAAUGAACAAGGCGAUAGAACAUCUUCUAGCAGAUUGGGAAUCUAUCAUUGUACGUCAGGUUAACUGGGUAUGUUUAUUUCCACUAGGAUGAGGUGAAAGAUUCACACAUGUAGUAGAUGGAGUUCCUACAUCAUGCUGAGAGGGGGGACAAGUGAUAGUGGAGAAUUCCUUUGAAAAUUCACAUUUAGUUCCAUUUAUGAAUCAAAUCUCAUUUUUGGAAUUGAGCUCUGAACUUGUGCGAAUUUUUUUCCUUUCAGAAUUAAAAGAGUUUCAGAUGCCAAAUAUUUUUAUGUUGCACGUUCGAUGAUCACUUGAAUCAUACUUUGUCACGUCCCAUGACUUGUAUCUCUGUUUCUUCUCCAUGGAAACAUCAUUAUUGUUUGUUUGAGGAAAGAUAAACAGACAUCGCUAACAUUAUUAGCAAAAAAUUUUAAUUAAUGUACAAAAAGGUAGAUCUCCUUGAGUACGAAAUUCAUCUCUUUUUUUGUCUGUUUUGUUACAGAGUACUGUUUCAUAUACAGAACAGUAGAAAGUUAAAGUCAUCAGAGAAGGGAAAGAAAAUCAGAAAACAAUUUUCUGCCCUCAGUUUUGCUUAUAUAGAGAAUAUUUAGUUUCUUUAGCUGUACAGUAUUGUUCAAGGCGUUUAGACGAUAGUUUCGCCCAAUGAAAAUGAAGAGACCGGCAAAGUUUUUGUUCGCAAGACAGAGAGGCAUGUUUCCUUGUAUAUCAAAUUUUGUUUCUAAUCUUCUUGAAGUCCAAACUGCUUAAGCCAUUUGGAUUGUAAUUCUAAAACAUACUGUCAUUUUGCUGUUUCCUAAUGUGUGUGUCUAAUCAGUCAUCGACUACAAGGUUCACAUCUUCA